This 63-nucleotide transfer RNA is filed under the name Pyrops clavatus. RNAcentral describes it as "tRNA-Tyr". Lineage: Eukaryota; Metazoa; Arthropoda; Insecta; Hemiptera; Fulgoridae. The record is from RNAcentral.
AAUGAGGUGGCUGAUUUAGGCGGUAAAUUGUAAAUUUAUUCAAGGUUUUAUUACCUCUCAUUA